RNAcentral lists this ribosomal RNA (441 nucleotides) under uncultured bacterium. RNAcentral's name for it is "bacterial SSU rRNA". It matches the Rfam family "Bacterial small subunit ribosomal RNA", at positions 28 to 507 of the family's 1533-position model. The record is from RNAcentral.
GACGAACGCUGGCGGCGUGCCUAAUACAUGCAAGUCGAGCGGAUUCCACCUUCGGGUGGAGUUAGCGGCGGACGGGUGAGUAACGCGUGGGAACCUUCCCUGUGGUACGGAAUAGCUCCGGGAAACUGGAAUUAAUACCGUAUACGCCCUUUGGGGGAAAGAUUUAUCGCCAUAGGAUGGGCCCGCGUUGGAUUAGCUAGUUGGUGAGGUAACGGCUCACCAAGGCGACGAUCCAUAGCUGGUCUUAGAGGAUGAUCAGCCACACUGGGACUGAGACACGGCCCAGACUCCUACGGGAGGCAGCAGUGGGGAAUAUUGGACAAUGGGCGCAAGCCUGAUCCAGCCAUGCCGCGUGAGUGACGAAGGCCUUAGGGUUGUAAAGCUCUUUUGGCGGGGACGAUAAUGACGGUACCCGCAGAAUAAGCCCCGGCUAACUUCGUG